AUUGAACGCUGGCGGCAGGCUUAACACAUGCAAGUCGAGCGGUAGCACAGGGGAGCCUGCUCCCUGGGUGACGAGCGGCGGACGGGUGAGUAAUGUCUGGGAAACUGCCUGAUGGAGGGGGAUAACUACUGGAAACGGUAGCUAAUACCGCAUAACGUCGCAAGACCAAAGAGGGGGACCUUCGGGCCUCUUGCCAUCAGAUGUGCCCAGAUGGGAUUAGCUAGUAGGUGGGGUAAUGGCUCACCUAGGCGACGAUCCCUAGCUGGUCUGAGAGGAUGACCAGCCACACUGGAACUGAGACACGGUCCAGACUCCUACGGGAGGCAGCAGUGGGGAAUAUUGCACAAUGGGCGCAAGCCUGAUGCAGCCAUGCCGCGUGUGUGAAGAAGGCCUUCGGGUUGUAAAGCACUUUCAGCGAGGAGGAAGGUGGUGAGCUUAAUACGUUCAUCAAUUGACGUUACUCGCAGAAGAAGCACCGGCUAACUCCGUG
RNAcentral lists this ribosomal RNA (490 nucleotides) under uncultured bacterium. RNAcentral describes it as "partial 16S ribosomal RNA". It matches the Rfam family "Bacterial small subunit ribosomal RNA", at positions 30 to 507 of the family's 1533-position model. The record is from RNAcentral.